UACGGGGGGGGCAAGCGUUGUUCGGAAUUACUGGGCGUAAAGGGCUGGUAGGCGGCCAACUAAGUCAGACGUGAAAUCCCCAGGCUUAACCUGGGAACUGCGUCUGAUACUGGAUGGCUUGAAUCCGGGAGAGGGAUGCAGAAUUCCAGGUGUAGCGGUGAAAUGCGUAGAUAUCUGGAGGAAUACCGGUGGCGAAGGCGGCAUCCUGGACCGGCAUUGACGCUGAACAGCGAAAGCUAGGGGAGCAAACGGG
Molecule: ribosomal RNA, 253 nt
Filed under: uncultured bacterium
Lineage: Bacteria
Description: partial 16S ribosomal RNA
Rfam family: Bacterial small subunit ribosomal RNA
Source: RNAcentral